Molecule: ribosomal RNA, 230 nt
Filed under: uncultured Staphylococcus sp.
Lineage: Bacteria; Bacillati; Bacillota; Bacilli; Caryophanales; Staphylococcaceae
Description: partial 16S ribosomal RNA
Rfam family: Bacterial small subunit ribosomal RNA
Source: RNAcentral
GUAACACGUGGAUAACCUACCUAUAAGACUGGGAUAACUUCGGGAAACCGGAGCUAAUACCGGAUAACAUGUUGAACCGCAUGGUUCAACAGUGAAAGACGGUCUUGCUGUCACUUAUAGAUGGAUCCGCGCCGCAUUAGCUAGUUGGUAAGGUAACGGCUUACCAAGGCAACGAUGCAUAGCCGACCUGAGAGGGUGAUCGGCCACACUGGAACUGAGACACGGUCCAG